This 460-nucleotide ribosomal RNA is filed under the name uncultured bacterium. Its description in RNAcentral is "partial 16S ribosomal RNA". It matches the Rfam family "Bacterial small subunit ribosomal RNA", at positions 338 to 795 of the family's 1533-position model. The record is from RNAcentral.
CCUACGGGAGGCAGCAGUGAGGAAUAUUGGUCAAUGGACGAGAGUCUGAACCAGCCAAGUAGCGUGAAGGAUGACUGCCCUAUGGGUUGUAAACUUCUUUUAUAAAGGAAUAAAACGAGGCACGUGUGCCUUUUUGCAUGUACUUUAUGAAUAAGGAUCGGCUAACUCCGUGCCAGCAGCCGCGGUAAUACGGAGGUUCCGAGCGUUAUCCGGAUGUAGUGGGUUUAACGGGAGCGUAGAUGGGUUGUUAAGUCAGUUGUGAAAGUUUGCGGCUCAACCGUAAAAUUGCAAUUGAUACUGGCAGGCUGGAGUACAGUUGAGGUAGGCGGAAUUCGUGGUGUAGCGGUGAAAUGCUUAGAUAUCACGAAGAACCCCGAUUGCGAAGGCAGCUUACUAGACUGUGACUGACAUUGAUGCUCGAAAGUGUGGGUAUCAAACAGGAUUAGAUACCCGAGUAGUC